This 21-nucleotide non-coding RNA is filed under the name Caenorhabditis elegans. The record is from RNAcentral. Lineage: Eukaryota; Metazoa; Nematoda; Chromadorea; Rhabditida; Rhabditidae.
UGUGUAUCAUAUUAUAUUUAG